UACCUAAAAGCACCGUUAGUGGAUCAGGAA
Molecule: small RNA, 30 nt
Filed under: Bombyx mori (domestic silkworm)
Lineage: Eukaryota; Metazoa; Arthropoda; Insecta; Lepidoptera; Bombycidae
Description: ovarian small RNA-20802
Source: RNAcentral